GGUUGUGUAGCUCAAUUGGAAAGAGUGCCACUUCAAACUCGCUCAGCCAUGCUGUAGCACUAUCAUUAUCAGUGGUGGGUGGGAGUUCGAGUCUCUCCAUGACCU
Molecule: non-coding RNA, 105 nt
Organism: Seminavis robusta
Lineage: Eukaryota; Bacillariophyta; Bacillariophyceae; Naviculales; Naviculaceae
Source: the annotation of a GenBank genome assembly